UUCUGCUUUUAAAAUAAUUCAUCUGUGACGUUUAACAAUAUUAAUAGAAAAAAACUAUUCAAACUGCUCUCAAAAGACAACAUAAUAAGUCUACUACAAAAGUGUUGAUUUGUACUAAGCAACCUUAACGUUGACGUUGAGAGUCACAGCAUUAGUUUCGACUAAGCAACUGUUGAACUCGCGCAUACAAGUCACUUACUUUAAUACCUAAUACAAAUCUCCUGUAUUUAUACAGAGUAUUUAUUUAUAUUAGGUAAGCGUCCUGUCCACGCAUACAAUUAUCCUGUACUUAAACAGAGAG
This is a long non-coding RNA of Teleopsis dalmanni, 301 nucleotides long. RefSeq lists it as uncharacterized. The record is from RefSeq and is a predicted model, not a curated record. The transcript is spliced from 4 exons. NCBI's taxonomy places the organism in Eukaryota, Metazoa, Arthropoda, Insecta, Diptera, Diopsidae.